AUUGAACGCUAGCGGCAGGCCUAACACAUGCAAGUCGAACGCGUGGCGGACGGGUGAGUAAUGUCUGGGAAACUGCCCGAUGGAGGGGGAUAACUACUGGAAACGGUAGCUAAUACCGCAUACCCUCGGAUGUGCCCAGAUGGGAUUAGCUUGUAGGUGAGGUACAGGCUCACCUUGGCGACGAUUCCUAGCUGGUCUGAGAGGAUGACCAGAGACGCGGGAACUGAGAAACGGUCCAGACUCCUCAGGGAGGCAGUAGUGGGGAAUAUUGCACAAUGGGUGCAAUCCUGAUGCAGCCAUGCCGCGUGUUUUAAGAAUGCAUUCGGGUUGUAAAGUACUUUCAGCGGGGAGGCGUUACCCGCAGAAGAAGCACCGGCUAACUACGUGCCAGCAGCCGCGGUAAUUC
Molecule: ribosomal RNA, 406 nt
Filed under: uncultured bacterium
Lineage: Bacteria
Description: partial 16S ribosomal RNA
Rfam family: Bacterial small subunit ribosomal RNA
Source: RNAcentral